RNAcentral lists this transfer RNA (74 nucleotides) under Candidatus Saccharimonadota bacterium. RNAcentral describes it as "tRNA-Cys". It matches the Rfam family "tRNA". From Rfam's summary of the family: Transfer RNA (tRNA) molecules are approximately 80 nucleotides in length. Their secondary structure includes four short double-helical elements and three loops (D, anti-codon, and T loops). The record is from RNAcentral. Lineage: Bacteria; Candidatus Saccharimonadota. RNAcentral also lists the same sequence under 1 other name.
GGCACUGUGGCGGAGUGGUUACGCAGCGGUCUGCAAAACCGCGUACACCGGUUCAAUUCCGGUCGGUGCCUCCA